Molecule: long non-coding RNA, 1196 nt
Filed under: Gallus gallus (chicken)
Lineage: Eukaryota; Metazoa; Chordata; Aves; Galliformes; Phasianidae
Source: RNAcentral
UAAGAUUUCAUCUGCAUAAAAGGUUUGUAGGACCAACGGGUGCCUCCUCGCCUUGUGGAGCCUGGGUGGUUCCAGCUCCCGCGGCGCAGGGAAGGUGGCGGGGACCCCUCAGAUGCUGAGGUCGGUGCUGCACUCCUUGUAGGGCCGCCUGCGCUGCUCGGUUGGGUGCCGGCGGCUCGCCUCCUGCUUCCAGCUGGCAUCUUCCCUUUGCCGGUGGCCGGCCCGCUCUUCCCUGAGCCGCCGCUCGGGCGACCGCUCUCUCCGCCGGUCGGAUGACUUGGCUCGCCGAUCCAAGGAGUUCUCCCUUCUCCGCUCUGGUGACCUCCUGGGCUCUGUGAGUCUCUCCAGCGAGCGCCGGCGCCGGCCGGGUGACCGCUCCCUGCGUCUCUCUGGGGAGAGGUCUCUCCUCCUCUCGUGCCGCUCCCGUCUCUCCAGGGUGUUGUCGGCACUCCUCGUCCCUUCCCUGCGCUGCUUUUCGGGUGACCUCCUCUUCUGCCCAUUCACCGCCACCCUCUCCGGCUGCCUCUCGCGUCUCCUCUCCGGUGACCGCUCUGUCCUCCUGCCUGGCACGGUGUCGUUGGCUUUACAAGUCCCGUUCCAAGUGUGGUGUUCGUUGGGAUGUCUGCUAACCUCUCUGCUGCCUUUUAGGUCUCUAACGUAAGUCCGCUUGUCCCCAUGUUGUGAUGAUUUGUGAAGGUCUGGUGGAUAACUGGACUCCAAUGAUGGGUGCUGCCGUCGGUCGGAUGGCACGGGUUUCAUUUCCGAUACAUUUUGUGAACCUGUGGCGGGACUGUUCCUGUCACUGCUGGGGUCAUAUUCUGGGACAGAGCCAUCUCCACGUUUCAGAAACAGGCGGACCCUGCGGCCACCAUUUUUAAUCAGUUCGAUGGCCCGAGCAUGCUUCAUGUUCUUGGUAGUUUCCCCGUUGAUCUCUAGGAUUUCAUCACCAAUCCUCAUCUUCCCACAUCUCUCAGCUGGCCCAUCCUCAGCUAGCCGCAGCACGUACAGAUCCAUAUUAUACUCCCGGCCACCUCGCAGGCUGAAGCCAAACCCUUUGGCUCCUCUUUCCAGCUCAACAGUGUAAAAAUCCUGGUCCUGCUGGAAAGAAGACAACAUACGUGCAAUUGAACAGAAAGUUUAAUGCAUCUUGAAUUCUCACUUUGAAAUUAUUCAGCCAGUGAAUGUUAUUAUUUCUG